AGAGUUUGAUCCUGGCUCAGGAUGAACGCUGGCGGUAUGCUUUACACAUGCAAGUCGUACGGGAGUUUUUAACUCAAGUGGCGGACGGGUGAGUAACACGUAAGAAUUUACCUUUAGGAGGGGGAUAAGACUUGAACGGUUGUUAAUACCCCAUAUGCUUUCGAGUGAAAUGGAUUUUUCCGCCUAGAGAGAAGCUUGCGGCUGAUUAGCUUGUUGGUGAGGUAAUGGCUCACCAAGGCGACGAUCAGUAUCUGGUUUGAGAGGACGAUCAGACACACUGGAACUGAGACACGGUCCAGACUCCUACGGGAGGCAGCAGUGGGGAAUUUUCCGCAAUGGGCGAAAGCCUGACGGAGCAAUACCGCGUGAGGGAUGACGGCCUAUGGGUUGUAAACCUCUUUUUUCAGGGAGGAAUCAAUGACGUGUACCUGAAGAAUAAGCAUCGGCUAACUCCGUGCCAGCAGCCGCGGUAAGACGGAGGAUGCAAGUGUUAUCCGGAAUCACUGGGCGUAAAGCGUCUGUAGGUGGUUUAAUAAGUCAACUGUUAAAUCUCGAGGCCCAACCUCGAAAUCGCAGUCGAAACUAUUAGACUAGAGUAUAGUAGGGGUAAAGGGAAUUUCCAGUGGAGCGGUGAAAUGCGUAGAGAUUGGAAAGAACACCGAUGGCGAAGGCACUUUACUGGGCUAUUACUAACACUCAGAGACGAAAGCUAGGGUAGCAAAUGGGAUUAGAUACCCCAGUAGUCCUAGCUGUAAACAAUGGAUACUAGAUGUUGAACAGAUCGACCUGUGCAGUAUUAAAGCUAACGCGUUAAGUAUCCCGCCUGGGAAAGUAUGCUCGCAAGAGUGAAACUCAAAGGGAAUUUGACGGGGGCCGCACAAGCGGUGGAGCAUGUGGUUUAAUUCCGAUGCCACGCGAGAUCUUUACAGGUUGACAUGAUACGAUUCUUGAAAGAGAAGUGCGGUUGACCGUAUACACAGGUGAUGCAUGUCUGUCGUCAGUCUCGGUCAUGAGAUGCUGGGUUAAGUUCCGGCA
RNAcentral lists this ribosomal RNA (1035 nucleotides) under uncultured bacterium. Its description in RNAcentral is "bacterial SSU rRNA". It matches the Rfam family "Bacterial small subunit ribosomal RNA", at positions 8 to 1091 of the family's 1533-position model. The record is from RNAcentral.